UACGUAGGGGGCGGGCGUUGUCCGGAUUUAUUGGGCGUAAAGAGCUCGUAGGCGGCUUAGCAAGUCGGGUGUGAAAACUCCAGGCUCAACCUGGAGACGCCACUCGAGACUGCUAUGGCUAGAGUCCGGUAGGGGACCACGGAAUUCCUGGUGUAGCGGUGAAAUGCGCAGAUAUCAGGAGGAACACCGGUGGCGAAGGCGGUGGUCUGGGCCGGCACUGACGCUGAGGAGCGAAAGCGUGGGGAGCAAACAGG
This 254-nucleotide ribosomal RNA is filed under the name uncultured bacterium. RNAcentral describes it as "partial 16S ribosomal RNA". It matches the Rfam family "Bacterial small subunit ribosomal RNA", at positions 524 to 776 of the family's 1533-position model. The record is from RNAcentral.